AGUAACCAGCAUUACUGUGUGUUGUGUGUUUGUCAGACUGCAGGCUAUGAAAGCGCUUCAGAGGCUUGAAGCUGAACUAGAGAAUCACGACGCAAAGAACAAUGAGAAGGUUUAACGCACGCAAGCACUCUGAUGACCAAAUAAACAAGAGAUGAGAUCGAGGAGUUUAAUUGUUUACAUGCUCGCAUUUUUGAAGGUUGAAUCUUUGCAAAAAGCACUUGAUGAAGCUCAACUGGACAACAGGAAACUUUCCCAGAGUUUAGAGCAGGCCUUACAGGAAAACCACAAUGCACAAGACAAAUUAAACACCCUCAGCGAGAGGUGAGGGAAUGUGAGUUUAUGGCUUACGUCCUCCAUGUUUUCUUGAGUUUACAUUAUACAUGACUGCAUCAGCAGGGAGGCGGAGCAUAAAGAGACGAGGGCAGAGAUUCGGCGAUUGACAGAACAUGUAGAUUCACACAAGAGCUUGCUCAAAAGGGAAAAAGACUCUGGGAGAAAGUCAGCACAGCGGGUAAUUUUAAAGAAAUGAGGUAGAUUUUAAUGUACAGCAUUUACCGGUAUAUAUAAAUGCUUUAUAAAUACAUUUACAUUUUAUUCAGUUCUACUCUGAUUCAACUACUCCCGUUUUCUAUAUAGCUGAAGAAGGCACUAAAUGAUGCAUCGGCAAAGUCAGGUGACCUCUCACGAGCCAAUCAGGAGCUUCGAGAGAAAGUGUCCGAGCUGGAGAAGCUUAUAUCACAUCAGAAGUCUCAAUUGAAUCAGUAUCUGGGCAACAGAACAGCACUGAAUCACUCUUUAAGAAUCAAGGUGUGUCAUUUUACCCACCAUCUGUGCUGGGUACAGGCUCUCUCACUGUAGUAAUAACAUCCCAGAAUACACAAACUGAGUUUUUACAUCGUCUUUGCCUUCCCGACAGGAUUUGGAAGCAGAAAUUAAAAGUCUUGAAGAAGCAAAGGACGAAUAUAAGAGGAGGAGUCAUGAACAGUCUCAGUCUUUGCUGCAGCUGCACUCUGAGAUGCUUUCUCUCCAGUCUGAGCUGCAGUGUCUGUCCUCCACUCAGCAGGGGGAGCUACAGGCCGAAAGAGAUCUCAAUCACACGCUACUGGAGAAAUGCCGGGU
Molecule: long non-coding RNA, 1119 nt
Filed under: Sinocyclocheilus grahami
Lineage: Eukaryota; Metazoa; Chordata; Actinopteri; Cypriniformes; Cyprinidae
Description: lncRNA (ENSSGRG00000012013.1)
Source: RNAcentral